CGAGCGGACAGAUGGGAGCUUGCUCCCUGAUGUUAGCGGCGGACGGGUGAGUAACACGUGGGUAACCUGCCUGUAAGACUGGGAUAACUCCGGGAAACCGGGGCUAAUACCGGAUGCUUGUUUGAACCGCAUGGUUCAAACAUAAAAGGUGGCUUCGGCUACCACUUACAGAUGGACCCGCGGCGCAUUAGCUAGUUGGUGAGGUAAUGGCUCACCAAGGCAACGAUGCGUAGCCGACCUGAGAGGGUGAUCGGCCACACUGGGACUGAGACACGGCCCAGACUCCUACGGGAGGCAGCAGUAGGGAAUCUUCCGCAAUGGACGAAAGUCUGACGGAGCAACGCCGCGUGAGUGAUGAAGGUUUUCGGAUCGUAAAGCUCUGUUGUUAGGGAAGAACAAGUGCCGUUCAAAUAGGGCGGCACCUUGACGGUACCUAACCAGAAAGCCACGGCUAACUACGUGCCAGCAGCCGCGGUAAUACGUAGGUGGCAAGCGUUGUCCGGAAUUAUUGGGCGUAAAGGGCUCGCAGGCGGUUUCUUAAGUCUGAUGUGAAAGCCCCCGGCUCAACCGGGGAGGGUCAUUGGAAACUGGGGAACUUGAGUGCAGAAGAGGAGAGUGGAAUUCCACGUGUAGCGGUGAAAUGCGUAGAGAUGUGGAGGAACACCAGUGGCGAAGGCGACUCUCUGGUCUGUAACUGACGCUGAGGAGCGAAAGCGUGGGGAGCGAACAGGAUUAGAUACCCUGGUAGUCCACGCCGUAAACGAUGAGUGCUAAGUGUUAGGGGGUUUCCGCCCCUUAGUGCUGCAGCUAACGCAUUAAGCACUCCGCCUGGGGAGUACGGUCGCAAGACUGAAACUCAAAGGAAUUGACGGGGGCCCGCACAAGCGGUGGAGCAUGUGGUUUAAUUCGAAGCAACGCGAAGAACCUUACCAGGUCUUGACAUCCUCUGACAACCCUAGAGAUAGGGCUUCCCCUUCGGGGGCAGAGUGACAGGUGGUGCAUGGUUGUCGUCAGCUCGUGUCGUGAGAUGUUGGGUUAAGUCCCGCAACGAGCGCAACCCUUGAUCUUAGUUGCCAGCAUUCAGUUGGGCACUCUAAGGUGACUGCCGGUGACAAACCGGAGGAAGGUGGGGAUGACGUCAAAUCAUCAUGCCCCUUAUGACCUGGGCUACACACGUGCUACAAUGGACAGAACAAAGGGCAGCGAGACCGCGAGGUUAAGCCAAUCCCACAAAUCUGUUCUCAGUUCGGAUCGCAGUCUGCAACUCGACUGCGUGAAGCUGGAAUCGCUAGUAAUCG
RNAcentral lists this ribosomal RNA (1298 nucleotides) under Bacillus atrophaeus. Its description in RNAcentral is "bacterial SSU rRNA". It matches the Rfam family "Bacterial small subunit ribosomal RNA", at positions 63 to 1344 of the family's 1533-position model. The record is from RNAcentral. Lineage: Bacteria; Bacillati; Bacillota; Bacilli; Caryophanales; Bacillaceae.